Molecule: long non-coding RNA, 317 nt
Organism: Hypanus sabinus (Atlantic stingray)
Lineage: Eukaryota; Metazoa; Chordata; Chondrichthyes; Myliobatiformes; Dasyatidae
Exons: 3
Source: RefSeq, a predicted model, not a curated record
GCAUGAGGAUGGUGUAUAUCAAGACACUGUCAAAGGCCUGGACCACUUACUGCACUGAAAUGGGAGUUCUGCUCCAUCAAGUCCAUAUUAAUGAUCAGCCUCCUACUUCUGGUCAAGACACCAUCGAUCGGAGGUACCCGAUGCCUAUGACAGAUUGGAGGGAGGAACCGCAGGGUGCCGACACUGAUUGACACUUGCUCUCUCCAUAUAUUCCAAAAAUGCAAGAGCUUCAGAACCAGCAAGACUGAAUCUGCACCAUUUACUAUGGGGGAGCAUCAUUCUCCAGUUCCUGGUCUUUUAUGAAAAUGCCCUUCCUG